Molecule: ribosomal RNA, 467 nt
Filed under: uncultured bacterium
Lineage: Bacteria
Description: partial 16S ribosomal RNA
Rfam family: Bacterial small subunit ribosomal RNA
Source: RNAcentral
GACGAACGCUGGCGGCGUGCUUAACACAUGCAAGUCGAACGGAAAGGCCUCAGCUUGCUGGGGUACUCGAGUGGCGAACGGGUGAGUAACACGUGGGUGAUCUGCCUUGCACUCUGGGAUAAGCUUGGGAAACUGGGUCUAAUACCGGAUAUGAACUGCCUUUAGUGUGGUGGUUGGAAAGUUUUUUCGGUGCAAGAUGAGCUCGCGGCCUAUCAGCUUGUUGGUGGGGUAAUGGCCUACCAAGGCGUCGACGGGUAGCCGGCCUGGGAGGGUGUACGGCCACAUUGGGACUGAGAUACGGCCCAGACUCCUACGGGAGGAAGCAGUGGGGAAUAUUGCACAAUGGGCGGAAGCCGGAUGCAGCGGCGCCGCGUGGGGGAUGACGGCCUUCGGGUUGUAAACUCCUUUCGACAGGGACGAAGCUUUUUGUGACGGUACCUGUAGAAGAAGCACCGGCUAACUACGUG